This 254-nucleotide ribosomal RNA is filed under the name uncultured bacterium. RNAcentral describes it as "partial 16S ribosomal RNA". It matches the Rfam family "Bacterial small subunit ribosomal RNA", at positions 524 to 776 of the family's 1533-position model. The record is from RNAcentral.
UACGUAGGGUGCGAGCAUUAUCCGGAUUUACUGGGCGUAAAGAGUUCUGUAGGUGGCGAUAUAAGUCAGAGGUUAAAUCCCCCAGCUCAACUGGGGAACCGCUUUUGAUACUGUAUAGCUAGAGACAGCUAGGGGGUAGUAGAACUUACGGUGAAGCAGUGAAAUGCGUUGAUAUCGUAGGGAAUACCAAGGGGGAAGCCAACUACCUGGGGCUGUUCUGACACUGAGAGACGAAAGCGUGGGGAGCAAAACGG